UGGGGAAUUUUGGACAAUGGGGGAAACCCUGAUCCAGCCAUCCCGCGUGUGCGAUGAAGGCCUUCGGGUUGUAAAGCACUUUUGGCAGGAAAGAAACGUCAUGGGUUAAUACCCCGUGAAACUGACGGUACCUGCAGAAUAAGCACCGGCUAACUACGUGCCAGCAGCCGCGGUAAUACGUAGGGUGCAAGCGUUAAUCGGAAUUACUGGGCGUAAAGCGUGCGCAGGCGGUUCGGAAAGAAAGAUGUGAAAUCCCAGAGCUCAACUUUGGAACUGCAUUUUUAACUACCGGGCUAGAGUGUGUCAGAGGGAGGUGGAAUUCCGCGUGUAGCAGUGAAAUGCGUAGAUAUGCGGAGGAACACCGAUGGCGAAGGCAGCCUCCUGGGAUAACACGGACGCUCUUGCACGAAAGCGUGGGGAGCAAACAGG
RNAcentral lists this ribosomal RNA (429 nucleotides) under Acidobacteriota bacterium. RNAcentral describes it as "Acidobacteria bacterium partial 16S ribosomal RNA". It matches the Rfam family "Bacterial small subunit ribosomal RNA", at positions 355 to 776 of the family's 1533-position model. The record is from RNAcentral. Lineage: Bacteria; Pseudomonadati; Acidobacteriota.